Molecule: long non-coding RNA, 543 nt
Organism: Trachemys scripta elegans
Lineage: Eukaryota; Metazoa; Chordata; Testudines; Emydidae
Exons: 3
Source: RefSeq, a predicted model, not a curated record
AACCUUUGAGGACAAUAGUAUAUGGGGAUGUAGAUGGAGGAUGUCUCUCCCCCUCCUCUUUGCGAACUAGCAGAGAGAGUGAGAGUUCGGACCCUGCUGGAAUCAGCGCUCCUGUGGGUAUCUGCUUAUUUCCAUGGGAACUGGCUCUAUUAAUUUCUCUUUGGAUGCAUUGUGUGAAAUGGUCCAAUUCUAAAUAUCAAUUAAAUCCCCGACACCCUGAGGAAUCAUGCUGAAGUGAGACCCUCGUGGGAGCCCAUUCCAGGCUCAGAAGAAUACUACAGACAAGACAAUAAACAAGCAGCGAAUAGCUACAGCGGGGAAAACAACUCCCUUCGCCUUUCAGACCUAACCGAAAUCAAUGAAGAUAAAGUAAAAGAAAUGAAAACACUGUACAGUAAUCCGGGGGACACCAAUUCACUUCUAACAGAAGCAAACAUAGCUCUUCUGAAGUUAACAGAGUGCUGAACUUGGCCGGUGGCCUUUAAACAGCAGCCAAAGAGAUCUCAGAGAGCAGAGAAAAGUGCAGAGAAGAAUAAAUCUUAA